RNAcentral lists this ribosomal RNA (498 nucleotides) under uncultured bacterium. RNAcentral describes it as "bacterial SSU rRNA". It matches the Rfam family "Bacterial small subunit ribosomal RNA", at positions 8 to 518 of the family's 1533-position model. The record is from RNAcentral.
AGAGUUUGAUUAUGGCUCAGGACGAACGCUGGCGGCGUGCUUAACACAUGCAAGUCGAACGAUGACGAUGGUGCUUGCACCGUCUGAUUAGUGGCGAACGGGUGAGUAACACGUGAGUAACCUGCCCUCCUCUUCGGGAUAACCGCCGGAAACGGUGGCUAAUACCGGAUAUGAAUGCCUGCCGCAUGGUGGGUGUUGGAAAGAUUUAUCGGUGGGGGAUGGACUCGCGGCCUAUCAGUUUGUUGGUGAGGUAAUGGCUCACCAAGGCGAUGACGGGUAGCCGGCCUGAGAGGGCGACCGGCCACACUGGGACUGAGACACGGCCCAGACUCCUACGGGAGGCAGCAGUGGGGAAUAUUGCACAAUGGGCGAAAGCCUGAUGCAGCGACGCCGCGUGGGGAUGACGGCCUUCGGGUUGUAAACCUCUUUCAGCAGGGAAGAAGCGAGAGUGACGGUACCUGCAGAAGAAGCGCCGGCUAACUACGUGCCAGCCGCGGC